RNAcentral lists this long non-coding RNA (242 nucleotides) under Elaeis guineensis (African oil palm). RNAcentral describes it as "long non-coding RNA (EGUI_LNC071528)". The record is from RNAcentral. Lineage: Eukaryota; Viridiplantae; Streptophyta; Magnoliopsida; Arecales; Arecaceae.
AUGGUCCUUAUAGUUUUAUUCUUCAAAAUACAUCUUACAUAGGAAGGAUGGUCCCUUCUUAUAUAAGCCAGAGUCCGUUUUGAUUUACAACUAAUGUGGAACUAAUGAUACUCUCCCUUCUACAUUACAAUAAUUAAUAUCUCACAUCAUUGCCUAUGAAAAUGUAUGAUACACAUAUAUUAACUAAUGAGAUGUUGGCAACCUAAAUGUUUAUGCAAUAAAUCAUCAAUCACAUCUCAUGA